UCAAGUUUGUCCUGGGAUGGGACUUGAAGGGCCUCUAGAUGAUGGCUUCAGUUGGAGAAAGUAUGGGCAGAAAGAUAUUCUUGGAGCCAAACACCCAAGGUAAGAAACAUUUUCACUGCCAGCAUCUACCAUUGCCCCUUCUAAUUUGCUGAUUUCCUGGUACCAUUGAAGUACAAAGACCAGCAUGUUGUCAGAAUCUACCUUUCAGAAAGUUGCUAGGAUACCCCUUCUUGAGAGGGAAAAGCCAAAAAAUGCCCAACUAUAUGCAACUUCAUUACAUCAAACAAUAGGCUUCAGUUCACUGACUUUUGGCUCGAUGAUCCCAAAAUAUUUGCCCAACUACCCUGCCACUCCUACCAUGCAGAGUCUUCUUUCUUUCCCCAAGCUGUCAUUCUUUUGCAUUGAACAUCUGGCCUGGUCAUUAGGGCAGUAACUGGAGGUAAAUGCUGGAGAAUAAUCAAAAAGGCAAAAUAGAUUUUACAGCAGAAAAAAAAAUGUUCAUCCAUGACUUGAUGGAACUGCGAAAACACUUUCUAGGGUAUUAAAAUUAAGCAUACCAAUUAUUUCUCAUGCUUUAAGUUUGUGUAACCUUGCUAUCUACAAAGAAAACAUAGCUGACUUCACCAUAUUCUUGCAGAGGUUACUACAGGUGCACUCACCGACACGUCCAAGGCUGUCUGGCUACAAAACAAGUUCAAAGAUCUGAUGAGGACCCAACAAUAUUCGAAGUUACAUACCGUGGAAGGCAUACAUGUAACCAGGGUUCUGAGCCAAAACCACCUUCAGCAGCAGCUGAAAAGCCUGAAACUAGCUCGCAAGGGAAACAUCGACAGGUGACCUCUCAACCGCAACAAAAUCAACAGGGAAUACUCUUGAGUUUCCAACGAGACCUAAAAGUUAACACCAAGGACCUAGACUCCCACAACCAACAUUUCCCUACAUUUGACUUCGCUUCAACAUCAACUACAAAGCCAGAAACUCAUCCUUUCUUGCCAUCUCUGACUGAUAACAACUUUGCAGGAGAUUUGUCUCCUCCAUUCAUGACUCCCCUAACAUCAGGGUCAGACUACUUCCCGGUUUCACCAACUCACAUAAGCAGUUAUGCAGAAAACCAAAACUCGUAUGCUUCGGAGUCAGAAUUUACAGGCUUGAUCUCAGCAGCAACUUCCACUACAAAUUCUCCCACUGUUGGCUCAGACUUCCCAUUCAGUCAGAUUGGCUUUGACACGAACUUUACAUUUGAUAAUUCAAGGUUCUUUUCCUAGUCGUCACAGUAAAUUUGAGAAGAAAACAAGAGUAGAAUCGUAUGAAAUUGUAAUUCCAGGUAGUGGACAAAGAAGGCUUUUAUAACAUCAUCAUGUGAAGACGUAGUCUGGUGGAAACCAGCUGAGUAACUGGCAUAGAAAGAAUAUUGUAAACUUAGAGUAUCUAGACAGAGGUUAGUGAAGAAACGGUAACAAUUUUGUUGGAUUCAUGACCCGAAGUCCUUUUGAUUUUCGUCUCAUGCAGUUGUCUGCACUCUGAUCAAACUCUGAAAUCAAUUAGAAUUCAGGUAAGAACUUUGUAUCUGACAUAACAUAAUCUUGUUGCAAGCUUAAAUACCUAAAUACAAAUAGUUGGCAGUCUUUAAGAGCUCAAAAAUUCAAUGGGCUCUGUAUGUUUUCAAUCUUAUAUUCAAAGUUAGCGCUAGAUGCAUAUUUUCUUCACUUCUCAAUAUCAUUAGAUAAACGGAAGUUAAUCAACAAAUAAGGUUUCCCCACAAAAGACUUCCAAGGAAAUCUCUUAAUUAAGCCACUGAAUUUGCUUCAUAUUUUUUUCCCAAAUGCGGAACCAUGCACGUCCUGGGUAUCUGUCAAAUCUGUAUGCAGCAGGACGAAAUUCAGCCUAUGUAACUCCAACUUCAACCAUACAAGUACAACAAACAGCGAAAUUAGCGUUUUGUCUCAUCCACUUUCAAUUCCAAAAAAACUAACAGUAAGCAACUGUCAAGCCAACAGGAAAAUCACACUAAAAAUCGAACUAGUCGACUUCUCAAAUUAGUUUCAAUUUAGUACGGCCGCCACAAAUUCCAUCUUUAAAAAUUCGUGAUUACAACGGCACCCAACAUUUUCAGGGCAAAAGUCUUCAUAUGUGUGUGAGUGAGAGAGCGGAGGCAAACAAAAAUUAAUUCUAGAUUUUCGGUCGUCAGAAAAGUACGAAGCAGGAGAAUAAAAUUUACAAGAAAACCAGCGGAAAAUGGAGAGGAGAAGAUAGGGUAGAGCUAACCCUAACUUUUUCUUUCCAGAAUAUCGAGCUUGGCCCUGCCCAUCUCCGGCUCAUUGUCGUUGUUACGGUGCCGCUGGGCGGGGUGGCGGUGGUUGCUGGAGCCACAUGGAGCAACUUGAUGCGACGUCAGCUCUAAACUCUAGAGCAAUUUAUUUGGGGCUCAGCAGAGUCCAAGAUGAAAACCUUUCGGCUCAAGGACUCUCAGUGAACUGGACGGCCCCUAACUUGACCCAAUCCA
RNAcentral lists this long non-coding RNA (2503 nucleotides) under Coffea arabica (coffee). RNAcentral describes it as "long non-coding RNA (CARA_LNC001458)". Lineage: Eukaryota; Viridiplantae; Streptophyta; Magnoliopsida; Gentianales; Rubiaceae. The record is from RNAcentral.